GUCUGCAGCCAUGCUACCCUGAACAAGCCUGACACCAUCUGAUCUCGGAAGCUAAGCAGGGUUGGGCCUGCUUAGUACUUGGAUGAGAGACCACCUAGGAAGACCAGGUGGUGUAAGAG
This 119-nucleotide ribosomal RNA is filed under the name Pteropus alecto (black flying fox). Lineage: Eukaryota; Metazoa; Chordata; Mammalia; Chiroptera; Pteropodidae. The record is from RNAcentral.